GUAUCGGUAGCUCAGCUGGAUAGAGCACUGCCCUCCUAAGGCAGGUGUCGGAGGUUCGAAUCCUCUUCGGUACACCA
Molecule: transfer RNA, 77 nt
Filed under: Anaerococcus degeneri
Lineage: Bacteria; Bacillati; Bacillota; Tissierellia; Tissierellales; Peptoniphilaceae
Also listed under: 4 other names
Description: tRNA-Arg
Rfam family: tRNA
About the family: Transfer RNA (tRNA) molecules are approximately 80 nucleotides in length.
Source: RNAcentral